RNAcentral lists this unclassified non-coding RNA (360 nucleotides) under soil metagenome. Its description in RNAcentral is "partial contains 5.8S ribosomal RNA, internal transcribed spacer 2, and large subunit ribosomal RNA". The stretch from base 1 to 120 matches the Rfam family "5.8S ribosomal RNA", at positions 35 to 154 of the family's 154-position model. The record is from RNAcentral.
GAUGAAGAACGUAGCGAAAUGCGAUAAGUAAUGUGAAUUGCAGAAUUCAGUGAAUCAUCGAAUCUUUGAACGCACAUUGCGCCCGCCAGUAUUCUGGCGGGCAUGCCUGUCUGAGCGUCGUUUCGACCCUCGCGCCCGGCUUCUGUCGGGGGCGGUGUUGGGGAUCGGCCACACCCUUCAGUGGGAGGCCGGCCCCUAAAUUCAGUGGCGACCACGCUGUAGCCUCCCCUGCGUAGUACUAAAACCACCUCGCAGGCGGAGAGCGGUGCGGCCCGCCGUAAAACCCCCCAACUUUUACAAGGUCGACCUCAGAUCAGGUAGGAAUACCCGCUGAACUUAAGCAUAUCAAUAAGCGGAGGU